UUGCGGAUCACGACCCGCCACCUGACGGAAAAUUAACUAGGUCGGGCCGACUAGUUCGCAAGCCCACUAUUUUUGAUUUAUAGUAUGUGUAAGGCCGCCAGGGGUGCUGUGUUCAGCGUCUUCUUGGUGGCCGAUCUCGGUUAAUGUUCCUUCUUCGCAAUUGUUCAACAAGGUAGAGCAGACGCCAUUAUAAGUUGUGUCAGAAUCUGAAUAAAAGCUAGAGAAUCAGCAACAAUUUACCUGAGUCAAGUGUCUUCAAAUCAAUAAUUACUUAUCAGGUAUUAUCAGUAAAAGUAAUUAUUGUCAAUAACCAUGAUUUCUCAUUGCUGUAUAUUGGUCAGCUGUAAAAUCUUUGGGUGAAUCAAGUUCAGUGCAACGCCCCAAAUUCUUACAAGCUUCACAAGCAGUUAAAUGUUUCCUUGUCUUUACUAUGUAACCACAAAGGUCAUAUACCAUAACGUUUGAUUGAUUGACAGAAAUUCAAGUGCUAUUAGAAGAAUACAAUUGUGCCAGACGUACUCCUUCUAUCUUCCGAGUGAUUAUUCCCUUAACUAUUGUGGAUAACAGAGCAAUCUGCCACAAAUGUUAUUCUUACAUGAAGGAGCUGCUUCAAGAAGGGACAAUUCUCCUUUACCCAGCCUUGAACAUGUGGAAUUCCAGGAUUUGUGUGGAUUUUGGCUUGACGACCGCCAAAUGGCAGUUCAAUCAGUUCAAGAUAGUGGUUUUCAAAUGAUUUUUGACCCUAUAAUUAAAGUUUUUGAACCUAAUUCUGCGAUUAAUUGUCAAAACAUACGCCAAGAAAUAAUUAAAGUGGCAUCUGAUAGACGCGCUUCUAUUUCCAAAGAGGUAGCAGGGAAACUCUUCUGUGUGAAAUUUGACUGUUGCACACCGCUUGAUCGUCAUAUACUUGGAAUAAACAUCCAAUAUGCUGAAAAAGAUGGCGACGGAGGAAAAGAAGACAUUGAUUUUGAUGAACUUGACAUAAAUAAUGACGAAGAAAAAGAAGAACUUGUUAUUAACGAACUCUCGGAAAGCAUUCGCGAUGUUGUGCGUGGAUUUCGGUGUGCAGCGCACUUAUUACAAAUCGCAGUGCUGGACGAGUUUAAAUUGAAAUCUGUUAACAGAUUAAUUGCAAAAGCCCGUGCGGCGAUGAAAGCUUUAAAAAAUCCGGUGUUUAUGGUUUCGAUUCGGCGUAGUUAACUGAAAAAACAACACUUGAUGGGAAAACCACGUGUGGAACCCGACAUUUGCGAUGCUAGCUCGUCUUCUUGAGCUUCGGGACUUCAUCACCGAAACAGAAAAUUCUCGUGCAGAUUUAAAGAUCAGUGAGAUUCAAUGGAUUGGCAUCCAGGGGAUAUCUUCCGUUCCCGAGCCGGCCCGAAAAGCAUCAGUCAGGUUACAAAUGGAACAGCUGACCAUAGGGGAUUUUUACUAACUGUUGACGUCGUGUAAAAUGGAGGUAGAAGAAAUCGACACAGUAUUUGCGAAAGCUUUUUCCGCGGCUCUUCAAACACGGGAAAAUAUGUUGAUGGAUAAUGACAUUUUUCGAUCAGCUAUAUAACUAGAUCCUAGAUUUAAGGUUAAUUGAAAUAAAAUAGAUUCGCUUUGUAUAA
This 1613-nucleotide unclassified non-coding RNA is filed under the name Daphnia magna. Its description in RNAcentral is "uncharacterized LOC116928498, transcript variant X2". The record is from RNAcentral. Lineage: Eukaryota; Metazoa; Arthropoda; Branchiopoda; Diplostraca; Daphniidae.